This 504-nucleotide ribosomal RNA is filed under the name uncultured Glomeraceae. Its description in RNAcentral is "SSU rRNA". It matches the Rfam family "Eukaryotic small subunit ribosomal RNA", at positions 569 to 1078 of the family's 1831-position model. The record is from RNAcentral. Lineage: Eukaryota; Fungi; Glomeromycota; Glomeromycetes; Glomerales; Glomeraceae.
AGCAGCCGCGGUAAUUCCAGCUCCAAUAGCGUAUAUUAAAGUUGUUGCAGUUAAAAAGCUCGUAGUUGAAUUUCGGGAUCAAUAUGUUGGUCGUGCCUCGGUACGUACUGGCAUUAUUGGUUUCUACCUUCUGAAGAACCUCGAUGUCAUUAAUUUGGUGUCUUGGGGAAUCAGGACUGUUACUUUGAAAAAUUAGAGUGUUUAAAGCAGGCUCACGUUUGAAUACAUUAGCAUGGAAUAAUGAAAUAGGACGUUUGAUUCUAUUUUGUUGGUUUCUAGGAUUGACGUAAUGAUUAAUAGGGAUAGUUGGGGGCAUUAGUAUUCAAUUGUCAGAGGUGAAAUUCUUGGAUUUAUUGAAGACUGACUACUGCGAAAGCAUUUGCCAAGGAUGUUUUCAUUAAUCAAGAACGAAAGUUAGGGGAUCAAAGACGAUCAGAUACCGUCGUAGUCUUAACCAUAAACUAUGCCGACUAGGGAUCGGAUGAUGUUAUUUUUAAUGACUCA